GCCCUGAUACCCCAAUUUCGGCAGAGGGAGCGAGCUCAAACCUCGUUCAGUGUGGGUUCGAGUCCCACUCAGGGCACCA
RNAcentral lists this transfer RNA (79 nucleotides) under Nocardiopsis kunsanensis. RNAcentral's name for it is "tRNA-Leu". It matches the Rfam family "tRNA". From Rfam's summary of the family: Transfer RNA (tRNA) molecules are approximately 80 nucleotides in length. Their secondary structure includes four short double-helical elements and three loops (D, anti-codon, and T loops). Lineage: Bacteria; Bacillati; Actinomycetota; Actinomycetes; Streptosporangiales; Nocardiopsidaceae. The record is from RNAcentral.